This 494-nucleotide ribosomal RNA is filed under the name uncultured bacterium. Its description in RNAcentral is "bacterial SSU rRNA". It matches the Rfam family "Bacterial small subunit ribosomal RNA", at positions 8 to 521 of the family's 1533-position model. The record is from RNAcentral.
AGAGUUUGAUCCUGGCUCAGAGUGAACGCUGGCGGCGUGCCUAACACAUGCAAGUCGAACGAUGAUAGGAAGCUUGCUUCCUUGAUUAGUGGCGCACGGGUGAGUAUACCAUAGAUAAUGUACCUCUUAGUUCGGGAUAGCCACUGGAAACGGUGAUUAAUACCGGAUACUCCUUCUCGUUAUAAGGCGAGUCGGGAAAGUUUUUUCGCUAAGAGAUCAGUCUAUGUCCUAUCAGCUAGUUGGUGAGGUAAUGGCUCACCAAGGCUAUGACGGGUAUCUGGUUUGAGAGGAUGAUCAGACACACUGGAACUGAGACACGGUCCAGACUCCUACGGGAGGCAGCAGUGAGGAAUAUUGCACAAUGGAGGAAACUCUGAUGCAGCAACGCCGCGUGGAGGAUGACGCAUUUCGGUGUGUAAACUCCUUUUAAGAGGGAAGAUAAUGACGGUACCUCUUGAAUAAGCACCGGCUAACUCCGUGCCAGCCGCCGCGGU